This 511-nucleotide ribosomal RNA is filed under the name Coniochaeta cateniformis. RNAcentral describes it as "partial large subunit ribosomal RNA". It matches the Rfam family "Eukaryotic large subunit ribosomal RNA", at positions 114 to 652 of the family's 3401-position model. Lineage: Eukaryota; Fungi; Ascomycota; Sordariomycetes; Coniochaetales; Coniochaetaceae. The record is from RNAcentral.
UUUGAAAUCUGGCUUCGGCCCGAGUUGUAAUUUGUAGAGGAUGCUUUUGGCGAGGUGCCUUCUGAGUUCCCUGGAACGGGACGCCAUAGAGGGUGAGAGCCCCGUAUAGUCGGACACCUAGCCUCUGUAAAGCUCCUUCGACGAGUCGAGUAGUUUGGGAAUGCUGCUCAAAAUGGGAGGUAUAUCUCUUCUAAAGCUAAAUAUAGGCCAGAGACCGAUAGCGCACAAGUAGAGUGAUCGAAAGAUGAAAAGCACUUUGAAAAGAGGGUUAAAUAGCACGUGAAAUUGUUGAAAGGGAAGCGCUUGUGACCAGACUUGUGCCGGGCUGAUCAUCCAGUGUUCUCACUGGUGCACUCGACCCGGCUCAGGCCAGCGUCGGUUGUCGCGGGGGGAUAAAAGCUUCGGGAACGUGGCUCCUCCGGGAGUGUUAUAGCCCGUUGCUUAAUACCCUCGCGGCGACCGAGGUUCGCGCUCUGCAAGGACGCUGGCAUAAUGGUCAUCAGCGACCCGU